GGAAUAUUGGACCAUGGGGGCAACCCUGAUCCAGCAAUGCCGCGUGUGUGAAGAAGGCCUGCGGGUUGUAAAGCACUUUCAGUGGGGAGGAAAAACCAUGGGUAAAUAGCUCAGGGUGUUGACGUUACCCAUAGAAGAAGCACCGCUUAACUCCGUGCCAGCAGCCGCGGUAAUACGGAGGGUGCGAGCGUUAAUCGGAAUUACUGGGCGUAAAGCGCGCGUAGGCGGCGUGAUAAGCCGGUUGUGAAAGCCCCGGGCUCAACCUGGGAACGGCAUCCGGAACUGUCAGGCUAGAGUGCAGGAGAGGAAGGUAGAAUUCCCGGUGUAGCGGUGAAAUGCGUAGAGAUCGGGAGGAAUACCAGUGGCGAAGGCGGCCUUCUGGACUGACACUGACGCUGAGGUGCGAAAGCGUGGGUAGCAAA
RNAcentral lists this ribosomal RNA (422 nucleotides) under uncultured bacterium. Its description in RNAcentral is "bacterial SSU rRNA". It matches the Rfam family "Bacterial small subunit ribosomal RNA", at positions 358 to 772 of the family's 1533-position model. The record is from RNAcentral.